AGAGCGAACGCUGGCGGCAGGCCUAAUACAUGCAAGUCGAACGGAUCCUUCGGGAUUAGUGGCGGACGGGUGAGUAACACGUGGGAACGUGCCCUUUGGUUCGGAACAACUCAGGGAAACUUGAGCUAAUACCGGAUGUGCCCUUCGGGGGAAAGAUUUAUCGCCAUUGGAGCGGCCCGCGUCUGAUUAGCUAGUUGGUGGGGUAAAGGCCCACCAAGGCGACGAUCAGUAGCUGGUCUGAGAGGAUGAUCAGCCACACUGGGACUGAGACACGGCCCAGACUCCUACGGGAGGCAGCAGUAGGGAAUCUUGCGCAAUGGGCGAAAGCCUGACGCAGCCAUGCCGCGUGAAUGAUGAAGGUCUUAGGAUUGUAAAAUUCUUUCAGCGGGGACGAUAAUGACGGUACCCGCAGAAGAACGCCCCGGCUAACUUCGCGCCAGCAGCCGC
This 447-nucleotide ribosomal RNA is filed under the name uncultured bacterium. RNAcentral describes it as "SSU rRNA". It matches the Rfam family "Bacterial small subunit ribosomal RNA", at positions 26 to 518 of the family's 1533-position model. The record is from RNAcentral.